Molecule: ribosomal RNA, 468 nt
Filed under: uncultured bacterium
Lineage: Bacteria
Description: partial 16S ribosomal RNA
Rfam family: Bacterial small subunit ribosomal RNA
Source: RNAcentral
GACGAACGCUGGCGGCGUGCUUAACACAUGCAAGUCGAACGGAAAGGCCCUGCUUUUGUGGGGUGCUCGAGUGGCGAACGGGUGAGUAACACGUGAGUAACCUGCCCUUGACUUUGGGAUAACUUCAGGAAACUGGGGCUAAUACCGGAUAGGAUCUCCUGCUGCAUGGUGGGGGUUGGAAAGUUUCGGCGGUUGGGGAUGGACUCGCGGCUUAUCAGCUUGUUGGUGGGGUAGUGGCUUACCAAGGCUUUGACGGGUAGCCGGCCUGAGAGGGUGACCGGCCACAAUGGGACUGAGAGACGGCGCAGACUCCUACGGGAGGCAGCAGUGGGGAAUAUUGCACAAUGGGCGGAAGCCUGAUGCAGAAACGCCGCGUGCGGGAUGACGGCCUUCGGGUUGUAAACAGCUUUAGCCUGUGACGAAGCGUGAGUGACGGUAAUGGGUAAAGAAGCACCGGCUAACUACGUG